GCUUGUCUCAAAGAUUAAGCCAUGCAUGUCUAAGUAUAACUCUUUUACUUUGAAAACUGCGAACGGCUCAUUAUAUCAGUUAUAGUUUCUUUGAUAGUCCCUUACUACUUGGAUACCCGUAGUAAUUCUAGAGCUAAUACAUGCAUCAAUACCCAACUGUUCGCGGAAGGGUGUAUUUAUUAGAUACAAAACCAAUGCCCUUCGGGGCUCCUUGGUGAUUCAUGAUAACUAUACGAAUCGCACGGCCUUGCGCCGGCGAUGGUUCAUUCAAAUUUCUUCCCUAUCAACUUUCGAUGUUUGGGUAUUGGCCAAACAUGGUUGCAACGGGUAACGGAGGGUUAGGGCUCGACCCCGGAGAAGGAGCCUGAGAAACGGCUACUACAUCCAAGGAAGGCAGCAG
RNAcentral lists this ribosomal RNA (400 nucleotides) under Sarocladium strictum. RNAcentral's name for it is "partial small subunit ribosomal RNA". It matches the Rfam family "Eukaryotic small subunit ribosomal RNA", at positions 30 to 431 of the family's 1831-position model. Lineage: Eukaryota; Fungi; Ascomycota; Sordariomycetes; Hypocreales; Sarocladiaceae. The record is from RNAcentral.